Small nucleolar RNA from Peromyscus eremicus (cactus mouse), 139 nucleotides. NCBI's taxonomy places the organism in Eukaryota, Metazoa, Chordata, Mammalia, Rodentia, Cricetidae. The record is from RefSeq and is a predicted model, not a curated record.
ACUUGGCCUUAGUAAAGCCAAAGCUGCUUCUGGAUAGCUGCUGUGGUAAGAAAAAGAACAAGAGGCUGGGGGUAAAGCAUUUCUUUGACAGUUCUGAUUCCUUUUGCUGUGACUGAUCUACAUUUUUGGAAAGACAGUG